GGCUGAGACCAGAGUGGGAAAGUGGCAAUUUGAAACAUUGCUACAGCUGCUGCCCAGAAAUUGCCCAGGCAAUUUCUUCAGAGAAGCAGGAUCUUCAUUAAAAGAUCCAUUUCCCAUGAAAAUACCCCAAUUGGGACUACUUCACUUCAGACCUGAUUAUCAGUCCAAUCUGAUGCACAACUCUAGUAAACACAUGUCUGGAACUCUGGAGAAGGGGAGCAACUGGAGGGUGAAAGCUUGCAGUAGAAGAGCAAUGAGAGGGUUAAGCCUACACACCCUGCUGCUUCAAAUUACUCUCUGCACAGGCUAGCAGUGAGUGACACCUGAACUGAUUAACAAAUUAUCUGAGCACCAGGUGAACUGCACCACAGGAGGGCCUGAAAAAUUAUUUUGGUUGUACUGCAGACUGUCUGUAAAAAGGUAAUUUGGACUUGUUUUUCUUCUCCCUUCCUUCCUUUUCCUGGUAAGCCCUGCAAAAUUAUCUGUUGAAUAAAAUCAAAAGGGGUUAAAAUACCCCCCCCCCAAAUUAAAAAACUCAUUCUUAAUCUGUGUGGAGGGUAAGAACCCCGUUUUUCUAAAAUGUGGGUAUCAUUCCCGGGAAACCUCAGGAUUUGGCAUGUGGUGUCAUCAGACAACACACAGCUCUAUUUCCGGUGGGUUCCAGUGAAGGCAUUGGCAUGCUAAAUCGAUGCAUUAGGACUAUAAGACUAGAUGUGGGUGAACAAACAAGCUUAAUCCCGACAAGAUCAAAGUACUCUCUGUCAGUAGAGGGGUUGAUCUAGGAAUAAGUCAGUAGAAGAACUUAGGACAGUGUUUCAGUCUCUCUAGGAUGGGGUUGCCUUCUUGAAACUCAGGUUUGAGGUUUGAGUGUGCUCCUGGACCCAGCUGUGCUCCUGGAAGCCUAGAUGGUGGACAUGGCCAGAACUGUUCUGGCUAGGGUCACACAGGCCUAAUUGCAUCCCAAUUGGACAACUGCAAUGCACCCAGUCUGGAGCUGCCCUGGAAGAUUCUCCAGAAGCCAUAGUUGUUCCAAAAUAUGGCAGCCACUCUGACUGGGGCUAGUUUUUGGGAGCAUGUGACUCCCCUCCAGUUUGCUGCUGGGUCAAUUCAAGAUACUGGUGGUAAUGCCAUUUAAAGCCUUAAAUGAUUCAAGAGCAGAGUAUCUAAAAGCCCACUUCUACACAUAUGAGCCUGACCAUGCUUUCGGUUAUGCUGGGGAGAUUGUCACAUCCCACUGGUGUGGCUGGGGGGAACCUGGGAGAGGGCUUCUUCAACUGCUGCACCCAGAUUAUGGAAUGCUCUUCCUAGGGCGGUGCAUUCCUCUUCCUCUUGGUAGGCCUUCUGCUAUGCGGCUAAGAAAUUUAUGUUUGAACCAGUUUAUAUUUUGUUAUGAUAGUUCUAGCCUUCUGAUCCUCUGGACUAGUAUUGUAUAUUUUUGUAGUAGUGACGUGGGUUGGAUUUUUACUGCUGCUAUCUCAUCAUUGUAUUAAUUUGAAUUGUUUUUAUUAUAUUGUCUGUGCUGGUCAAUGACCGUAAUAAAGAUUAUUAUUAUUAUUA
Molecule: long non-coding RNA, 1557 nt
Organism: Hemicordylus capensis (graceful crag lizard)
Lineage: Eukaryota; Metazoa; Chordata; Lepidosauria; Squamata; Cordylidae
Exons: 2
Source: RefSeq, a predicted model, not a curated record